CAUGUAGGCGGCCUGAUUAGCGUCGUGUGAAAUCCCUCGGCCCAACCGAGGAAUUGCGGGGCGAACUGUCAGGCUUGAGGCAAGUAGGGGUGUGUGGAACCCUUGGUGGAGCGGUGGAAUGCGUAGAUAUCAAGGGGAACGCCGGUGGCGAAGGCGACACACUGGGCUUGUCCUGACGCUGAGAUGCGAAAGCUAGGGUAGCGAACAGGAUUAGAUACCCUGGUAGUCC
This 229-nucleotide ribosomal RNA is filed under the name uncultured bacterium. RNAcentral's name for it is "partial 16S ribosomal RNA". It matches the Rfam family "Bacterial small subunit ribosomal RNA", at positions 568 to 796 of the family's 1533-position model. The record is from RNAcentral.